RNAcentral lists this ribosomal RNA (253 nucleotides) under uncultured bacterium. RNAcentral's name for it is "partial 16S ribosomal RNA". It matches the Rfam family "Bacterial small subunit ribosomal RNA", at positions 524 to 776 of the family's 1533-position model. The record is from RNAcentral.
UACAGAGGUGGCAAGCGUCGUUCGGAAUUACUGGGCGUAAAGGGCGCGUAGGCGGCCUCGCAAGUCCCGUGUGAAAUCCCUCGGCUCAACUGAGGAAUGGCACGGGAAACUGCGGGGCUUGAGUUCGGGAGAGGGAAGCGGAAUUCCGGGUGUAGCGGUGAAAUGCGCAGAUAUCGGGAGGAACACCGGUGGCGAAGGCGGUUCUCUGGGCCUUACCUGACGCUGAGGAGCGAAAGCGUGGGGAGCGAACAGG